UUACGGUCAAAUCACGCUGAAAACACCGGUUCUCGUUCGAUCACCGAAGUUAAGCAUCGUAGAGCCAAGGUCAGUACUUAGAUGGGGGACCGCUUGGGAACACCUGGUACUGUAAG
RNAcentral lists this ribosomal RNA (116 nucleotides) under Acanthosepion pharaonis. Lineage: Eukaryota; Metazoa; Mollusca; Cephalopoda; Sepiida; Sepiidae. The record is from RNAcentral.